RNAcentral lists this unclassified non-coding RNA (339 nucleotides) under Flavobacterium columnare. RNAcentral describes it as "partial 16S-23S ribosomal RNA intergenic spacer". The stretch from base 116 to 189 matches the Rfam family "tRNA". The record is from RNAcentral. Lineage: Bacteria; Pseudomonadati; Bacteroidota; Flavobacteriia; Flavobacteriales; Flavobacteriaceae.
UGGAACACCUCCUUUCUAGAGACAAAAAAAAGAAGCUAUUUUUUAAUUUAGAUACUAAAUUAAAAAAACUUACUCUCGCUGUUAAUUCAAAAAAAAGAAAAGGCUUAAAAUACAGAGUCUCGUAGCUCAGCUGGUUAGAGUACUACACUGAUAAUGUAGGGGUCGGCAGUUCGAGUCUGCCCGGGACUACUUUUUAAAGCACAAGGAAAUUCUAGAAGCGAAUUUUGAAUUAUAAAUUUUAAAUGAUGAAUUUGAAAAAUAAUUCAAAAAAAUAAUUCAACAUCCAAAAUAGAAAAAAGAUUGGGGGAUUAGCUCAGCUGGCUAGAGCGCCUGCCUUGC